AGAUACAAGACCAAACUCAUCACAAUCAAGCUCUGUUUCUCUCUCAGUGAAGGAGAGACCUAAGCCUGUAGUGAAGGUGUCUCCAGAUCAGCGUGUGUUCAGAGGAGAGACAGUCACUCUCACAUGUGACAUACAGAGAGGAGGACACAUUCAGUGGACAUACAGCUGGUUUAAAGAUGGAAACACUUUCUAUCCAUACAGAAGAACAACAACAGCAGAGUUCAGUUUCACAGCAUCUGUGUCUGACAGUGGUGUUUACAGCUGUAGAGGAGAGAGAUCAGACUCACAGAGAUCACACACCAGUGCUGCUCUUGCACUGACUGUAUCAGAUUUACCCAGAUCUACUCUGACUGUGACUCCAGACAGAUCUGUAUUCACUGGAGAGAGAGUGACUCUGACGUGUGUGAUUGAGUCUUACAGAGACUGGAGUCAGAGAAAUGGCCUGAGAUAUGACUGGAGAUAUUACUGGACACCUGACUGGAGAUAUGAGUGGUAUAAAGACAGUGUAAAGUUACAGUCGUCUGAUCGUUACACUGUAAACACAGACACUCUCACUAUCAGAGCAGUAACUACAUCUGAUGAGGGUCAGUACACGUGUAGAGG
Long non-coding RNA from Carassius auratus (goldfish), 603 nucleotides. RefSeq lists it as uncharacterized. The transcript has 3 exons. The record is from RefSeq and is a predicted model, not a curated record. NCBI's taxonomy places the organism in Eukaryota, Metazoa, Chordata, Actinopteri, Cypriniformes, Cyprinidae.